This 732-nucleotide ribosomal RNA is filed under the name uncultured bacterium. RNAcentral's name for it is "bacterial SSU rRNA". It matches the Rfam family "Bacterial small subunit ribosomal RNA", at positions 77 to 812 of the family's 1533-position model. The record is from RNAcentral.
GGCUUGCCACGGAGUCGAGCGGCGAACGGGUGAGUAACGCGUGGAUACCUGCCUCUGGAUGGGGGAUAACCCGGGGAAACCCGGACUAAUACCGCAUAACAUUGAGAGAUCAAAGGGGGCCGCAAGGCUCCUGUCUGGAGAGGGGUCCGCGUCCGAUUAGCUAGUUGGUAGGGUAAUGGCCUACCAAGGCGACGAUCGGUAGCCGGCCUGAGAGGGUGAUCGGCCACACUGGAACUGAGACACGGUCCAGACUCCUACGGGAGGCAGCAGUGGGGAAUUUUGCGCAAUGGGGGAAACCCUGACGCAGCAACGCCGCGUGGAGGAUGAAGGCCCUUGGGUUGUAAACUCCUGUCAGCAGGGAAAAAGGUGAGCGGGUUAAUACCCUGGUUACUUGAUUGUACCUGCAGAGGAAGCCCCGGCUAACUCUGUGCCAGCAGCCGCGGUAAUACAGAGGGGGCGAGCGUUAUUCGGAAUUAUUGGGCGUAAAGGGCGCGUAGGUGGCUUUGUAAGCGGAAGGUGAAAUCCCUCGGCUCAACCGAGGAACUGCCCUCCGAACUGCGGAGCUUGAGUCCGGGAGAGGUGAGUGGAAUUCCCAGUGUAGCGGUGAAAUGCGUAGAUAUUGGGAGGAACACAGUGGCGAAGGCGGCUCACUGGACCGGAACUGACGCUGAGGCGCGAAAGCGUGGGGAGCAAACAGAUAGAUACCCUGGUAGUCCACGCUGUAAACGAUGA